This 750-nucleotide ribosomal RNA is filed under the name uncultured bacterium. Its description in RNAcentral is "bacterial SSU rRNA". It matches the Rfam family "Bacterial small subunit ribosomal RNA", at positions 28 to 765 of the family's 1533-position model. The record is from RNAcentral.
GACGAACGCUGGCGGCGUCCUUAUACAUGCAAUUGAGCGAUGAAGAUUGUGCUUCACAAAUUUGAAGAGCAGCGAACGGGUGAGUAACGCGUGGGGAAUCUGCCUUUGAGCGGGGGACAACAUUUGGAAACGAAUGCUAAUACCGCAUAACAACUUUAAACAUAAGUUUUAAGUUUGAAAGAUGCAAUUGCAUCACUCAAAGAUGAUCCCGCGUUGUAUUAGCUAGUUGGUGAGGUAAAGGCUCACCAAGGCGAUGAUACAUAGCCGACCUGAGAGGGUGAUCGGCCACAUUGGGACUGAGACACGGCCCAAACUCCUACGGGAGGCAGCAGUAGGGAAUCUUCGGCAAUGGACGAAAGUCUGACCGAGCAACGCCGCGUGAGUGAAGAAGGUUUUCGGAUCGUAAAACUCUGUUGGUAGAGAAGAACGUUGGUGAGAGUGGAAAGCUCAUCAAGUGACGGUAACUACCCAGAAAGGGACGGCUAACUACGUGCCAGCAGCCGCGGUAAUACGUAGGUCCCGAGCGUUGUCCGGAUUUAAUGGGCGUAAAGCGAGCGCAGGUGGUUUAUUAAGUCUGGUGUAAAAGGCUGUGGCUCAACCAUUGUAUGCAUUGGAAACUGGUAGACUUGAGUGCAGGAGAGGAGAGUGGAAUUCCAUGUGUAGCGGUGAAAUGCGUAGAUAUAUGGAGGAACACCGGUGGCGAAAGCGGCUCUCUGGCCUGUAACUGACACUGAGGCUCGAAAGCGUGGG